Molecule: ribosomal RNA, 1887 nt
Filed under: Staphylococcus aureus
Lineage: Bacteria; Bacillati; Bacillota; Bacilli; Caryophanales; Staphylococcaceae
Description: partial 23S ribosomal RNA
Rfam family: Bacterial large subunit ribosomal RNA
Source: RNAcentral
AAAGGGAAACAGCCCAGACCACCAGCUAAGGUCCCAAAAUAUAUGUUAAGUGGAAAAGGAUGUGGCGUUGCCCAGACAACUAGGAUGUUGGCUUAGAAGCAGCCAUCAUUUAAAGAGUGCGUAAUAGCUCACUAGUCGAGUGACACUGCGCCGAAAAUGUACCGGGGCUAAACAUAUUACCGAAGCUGUGGAUUGUCCUUUGGACAAUGGUAGGAGAGCGUUCUAAGGGCGUUGAAGCAUGAUCGUAAGGACAUGUGGAGCGCUUAGAAGUGAGAAUGCCGGUGUGAGUAGCGAAAGACGGGUGAGAAUCCCGUCCACCGAUUGACUAAGGUUUCCAGAGGAAGGCUCGUCCGCUCUGGGUUAGUCGGGUCCUAAGCUGAGGCCGACAGGCGUAGGCGAUGGAUAACAGGUUGAUAUUCCUGUACCACCUAUAAUCGUUUUAAUCGAUGGGGGGACGCAGUAGGAUAGGCGAAGCGUGCGAUUGGAUUGCACGUCUAAGCAGUAAGGCUGAGUAUUAGGCAAAUCCGGUACUCAUUAAGGCUGAGCUGUGAUGGGGAGAAGACAUUGUGUCUUCGAGUCGUUGAUUUCACACUGCCGAGAAAAGCCUCUAGAUAGAAAAUAGGUGCCCGUACCGCAAACCGACACAGGUAGUCAAGAUGAGAAUUCUAAGGUGAGCGAGCGAACUCUCGUUAAGGAACUCGGCAAAAUGACCCCGUAACUUCGGGAGAAGGGGUGCUCUUUAGGGUUAACGCCCAGAAGAGCCGCAGUGAAUAGGCCCAAGCGACUGUUUAUCAAAAACACAGGUCUCUGCUAAACCGUAAGGUGAUGUAUAGGGGCUGACGCCUGCCCGGUGCUGGAAGGUUAAGAGGAGUGGUUAGCUUCUGCGAAGCUACGAAUCGAAGCCCCAGUAAACGGCGGCCGUAACUAUAACGGUCCUAAGGUAGCGAAAUUCCUUGUCGGGUAAGUUCCGACCCGCACGAAAGGCGUAACGAUUUGGGCACUGUCUCAACGAGAGACUCGGUGAAAUCAUAGUACCUGUGAAGAUGCAGGUUACCCGCGACAGGACGGAAAGACCCCGUGGAGCUUUACUGUAGCCUGAUAUUGAAAUUCGGCACAGCUUGUACAGGAUAGGUAGGAGCCUUUGAAACGUGAGCGCUAGCUUACGUGGAGGCGCUGGUGGGAUACUACCCUAGCUGUGUUGGCUUUCUAACCCGCACCACUUAUCGUGGUGGGAGACAGUGUCAGGCGGGCAGUUUGACUGGGGCGGUCGCCUCCUAAAAGGUAACGGAGGCGCUCAAAGGUUCCCUCAGAAUGGUUGGAAAUCAUUCAUAGAGUGUAAAGGCAUAAGGGAGCUUGACUGCGAGACCUACAAGUCGAGCAGGGUCGAAAGACGGACUUAGUGAUCCGGUGGUUCCGCAUGGAAGGGCCAUCGCUCAACGGAUAAAAGCUACCCCGGGGAUAACAGGCUUAUCUCCCCCAAGAGUUCACAUCGACGGGGAGGUUUGGCACCUCGAUGUCGGCUCAUCGCAUCCUGGGGCUGUAGUCGGUCCCAAGGGUUGGGCUGUUCGCCCAUUAAAGCGGUACGCGAGCUGGGUUCAGAACGUCGUGAGACAGUUCGGUCCCUAUCCGUCGUGGGCGUAGGAAAUUUGAGAGGAGCUGUCCUUAGUACGAGAGGACCGGGAUGGACAUACCUCUGGUGUACCAGUUGUCGUGCCAACGGCAUAGCUGGGUAGCUAUGUGUGGACGGGAUAAGUGCUGAAAGCAUCUAAGCAUGAAGCCCCCCUCAAGAUGAGAUUUCCCAACUUCGGUUAUAAGAUCCCUCAAAGAUGAUGAGGUUAAUAGGUUCGAGGUGGAAGCAUGGUGACAUGUGGAGCUGACGAAUACUAA